This 67-nucleotide transfer RNA is filed under the name Spodoptera frugiperda (fall armyworm). RNAcentral's name for it is "tRNA-Glu". Lineage: Eukaryota; Metazoa; Arthropoda; Insecta; Lepidoptera; Noctuidae. The record is from RNAcentral. RNAcentral also lists the same sequence under 1 other name.
AUUUAUAUAGUUUAAAUAAAACAUUACAUUUUCAUUGUAAAAAUAAAAAAAUUUUUUUUUAUAAAUA